UGGGGGGUAGCCAUAAUAUGUGUAUUGCAGUUGCAGUGAACGAAUUUGACAGGUGUGGUUAUGUUGCCCAUGAUUCGUAUAGGAUUGAACGCUGUGAAACAGGAGUAAUGCAGUGUUAAUGAUAUAUUGGAAGGACAUUUCUCGUGGGUUGGUAUUAGAGCAUUGCAGUGCAAGGAUUAAUCUAUAAAAAUAUUUUCAAUGGUGGGCCAACUUGCGGGGAGAGGAAUUGGCAAUUAUCGGAGGAUUUUGAAGCAUUUGAAGGUGUCAUGCUGAUAUUUGCAGAGACUGGAACUGGAGGCUUUUCUGUGUUUUAAUUAUCUGGGCCCUGCCCAUGUUUUCAAUCGCAUUUUAAUUACGUUGUAGAAGUGACAGUGUUAAUUGAAUAGUUUUUCCCUUGUCCGAUAACUUUAUCCAUUUUGAAUAUGUUUUACUGCUCUAUGCUUAAUUAUUGUUAUCGAAGAUUCAUGUUUACAGCUUGAGCUGGUAAUAGAUUAAUUUUUGAGCCGAUUUAAUUGUUUUUAAUUUAUUUA
Fopius arisanus is the source of this 530-nucleotide long non-coding RNA. RefSeq lists it as uncharacterized. Lineage: Eukaryota; Metazoa; Arthropoda; Insecta; Hymenoptera; Braconidae. The record is from RefSeq and is a predicted model, not a curated record. The transcript is spliced from 4 exons.